RNAcentral lists this unclassified non-coding RNA (815 nucleotides) under Hevea brasiliensis (rubber tree). The record is from RNAcentral. Lineage: Eukaryota; Viridiplantae; Streptophyta; Magnoliopsida; Malpighiales; Euphorbiaceae.
CGGGGGGGUGUUGGGGGGUUGGUGGGUGGGGGUGGGAGAUGUGGGCUUUUGUUUUUUUGCACUAAUUUGAAAUUUGCAAGGGAAUGCUAUAUGAACAAGCAUGGAAGAUCUUUAUUAAUUUUCCUUUUUCUGUUAUUUGUUAGAGGACCUAACACUCUGAACAUCAUUUCUUUCUAGUCGCAUCUUCUGUAUUUUUGGAAAGAGGAAAAGAUAUAAAAGAUUCCUUUUUUCUUCUUUGGUCCUUAUCAGUGAAUAAUGGUUUUUGUUCGUUAUCAUGAUGAUUUUUAACUUGGGUGCCAGAGAGAAUGCUUUACAUUGCCAAGAGCAUACUGGUUUUUCUAGUGUUAAAUUCUUAUCCUGUGAUUUCCAUCCCAUAUCAAUAAUUAUGGAAAUAAGUUAGAAAGGCAGCUUGUGUCAGUUUAUGAGGUGAUGGAUUCUAGGCCAAGUGGCGUGAUUGACUUAUAAUGUGGAAAAAGUUUCUGCUGAAAUUUAGUGUAGCUGAUCUAGCCAAAGACCAAUUUCAGUAAUAUACCUGUCCAAAUUUUUGGGCUGUCCAUGGAUCUUCCUUUCCAAGAGUUAAACCACUAGUUUCCUAACAUACACUUGAAACUUCACGCCUACGGCUGUCACACUCUCUUGGAGGCCUUCUGAGGAGAUAUUUUUCUAAUUUCUUAAAGAAGUAAAUCAAUAUCAACUUCCUACAAUCAUUCUCUCUUCAUCUUGACGUUCCUUAGAUUGGUCCACAAGGUGAUUUAUGAAGGGUGUUCCUGUGUGUACAUUUGAGGACGAGUCUUGGUGCAAGUGCAACAAUAAGG